This 460-nucleotide ribosomal RNA is filed under the name uncultured bacterium. RNAcentral describes it as "partial 16S ribosomal RNA". It matches the Rfam family "Bacterial small subunit ribosomal RNA", at positions 338 to 795 of the family's 1533-position model. The record is from RNAcentral.
CCUACGGGUGGCAGCAGUGAGGAAUAUUGGUCAAUGGACGAGAGUCUGAACCAGCCAAGUAGCGUGAAGGAUGACUGCCCUAUGGGUUGUAAACUUCUUUUAUAUGGGAAUAAAACGUUCCACGUGUGGGAUUUUGUAUGUACCAUAUGAAUAAGGAUCGGCUAACUCCGUGCCAGCAGCCGCGGUAAUACGGAGGAUCCGAGCGUUAUCCGGAUUUAUUGGGUUUAAAGGGAGCGUAGGUGGAUUGUUAAGUCAGUUGUGAAAGUUUGCGGCUCAACCGUAAAAUUGCAGUUGAAACUGGCAGUCUUGAGUACAGUAGAGGUGGGCGGAAUUCGUGGUGUAGCGGUGAAAUGCUUAGAUAUCACGAAGAACUCCGAUUGCGAAGGCAGUUCACUGGACUGCAACUGACACGGAGGCUCGAAAGUGUGGGUAUCAAACAGGAUUAGAUACCCCAGUAGUC